This is a non-coding RNA of Sarcophilus harrisii (Tasmanian devil), 71 nucleotides long. Lineage: Eukaryota; Metazoa; Chordata; Mammalia; Dasyuromorphia; Dasyuridae. The record is from Rfam.
UAGGAUGUGGUGUAAUGGAAGCACAAAGGGUUUUGAGUUCUUUGGUAUAGGUUCGAGUCCUGUUGUCCUAG